Molecule: ribosomal RNA, 718 nt
Filed under: Microbacterium aurantiacum
Lineage: Bacteria; Bacillati; Actinomycetota; Actinomycetes; Micrococcales; Microbacteriaceae
Description: partial 16S ribosomal RNA
Rfam family: Bacterial small subunit ribosomal RNA
Source: RNAcentral
GUGGCGAACGGGUGAGUAACACGUGAGCAACCUGCCCUGGACUCUGGGAUAAGCGCUGGAAACGGCGUCUAAUACUGGAUAUGAGCUCUCAUCGCAUGGUGGGGGUUGGAAAGAUUUUUCGGUCUGGGAUGGGCUCGCGGCCUAUCAGCUUGUUGGUGAGGUAAUGGCUCACCAAGGCGUCGACGGGUAGCCGGCCUGAGAGGGUGACCGGCCACACUGGGACUGAGACACGGCCCAGACUCCUACGGGAGGCAGCAGUGGGGAAUAUUGCACAAUGGGCGGAAGCCUGAUGCAGCAACGCCGCGUGAGGGAUGACGGCCUUCGGGUUGUAAACCUCUUUUAGCAGGGAAGAAGCGAGAGUGACGGUACCUGCAGAAAAAGCGCCGGCUAACUACGUGCCAGCAGCCGCGGUAAUACGUAGGGCGCAAGCGUUAUCCGGAAUUAUUGGGCGUAAAGAGCUCGUAGGCGGUUUGUCGCGUCUGCUGUGAAAUCCCGAGGCUCAACCUCGGGCCUGCAGUGGGUACGGGCAGACUAGAGUGCGGUAGGGGAGAUUGGAAUUCCUGGUGUAGCGGUGGAAUGCGCAGAUAUCAGGAGGAACACCGAUGGCGAAGGCAGAUCUCUGGGCCGUAACUGACGCUGAGGAGCGAAAGGGUGGGGAGCAAACAGGCUUAGAUACCCUGGUAGUCCACCCCGUAAACGUUGGGAACUAGUUGUGGGG